AUGGCCUCCCUUGUCUUCCUCAUGGCGCUGCUGCUCUCAUGCAGCUCCAUGAGCAGCGCAGCACGGCACCUAGAGGAGGCCGCACCCAAGAAGGACUAUCCACCACAUCCGAUCGUCCCGGAGCUGCCGAAGCCCGAACUCCCGCCGCACCCUGCCGUGCCCGAGCUGCCCAAGCCUGAGCCACCGCACCCUCUCGUGCCCGAAGUGCCACACCCCGUGGUGCCCAAGGUGCCAAAGCACGAACUGCCGCCGCACCCUGCUGUGCCGGAGCUCCUGAAGCCAGAAGUGCCGCAUCCAGUUGUGCCCGAGGUAGCAAAGGAGCCCGAAGUGCCACAUCCCGUGGUGCCCGAGGUGCCAAAGAAGGAACUACCACCGCACCCUGCUGUGCCCAAGCUCCCGAAGCCUGAAGUGCCGCAUGUGCCGGAGGUGGCUAAGGAGCCUGAAGUGCCACACCCCGUCGUACCAAAGGUGCCAAAGAAGCACGAACUGCCGCACCCUGUCGUGCCGGAGGUGCCGAAGGAGCACGAGCUGCCGCACCCUGCCAUACCAGAGCUGCCGAAGCCUGAAAUGCCACACCAUGCCAUGCCAGAUGUGCCGAAGGAGCCCCAUGUGCCGCACCCUGAGGCGCUGAAGGAGCCCGAGUUACCGCACCCUAUUGUGCCAGAGGUCCCGAAGCACGAAAUGCCGCCGUUCCCCAAAGCCGAGCUGCCACCGAAACCCGAGUUCCAUUUUCCAAAGCCAGAGGCCAAGCCAUGA
This 756-nucleotide ribosomal RNA is filed under the name Triticum aestivum (bread wheat). Its description in RNAcentral is "partial small subunit ribosomal RNA". Lineage: Eukaryota; Viridiplantae; Streptophyta; Magnoliopsida; Poales; Poaceae. The record is from RNAcentral.